GAUGAACGCUGGCGGCGUGCCUAAUACAUGCAAGUCGAGCGAACAGAUGAGGAGCUUGCUCCUCUGACGUUAGCGGCGGACGGGUGAGUAACACGUGGAUAACCUACCUAUAAGACUGGGAUAACUUCGGGAAACCGGGGCUAAUACCGGAUAAUAUAUUGAACCGCAUGGUUCAAUAGUGAAAGACGGUUUUGCUGUCACUUAUAGAUGGAUCCGCGCCGCAUUAGCUAGUUGGUAAGGUAACGGCUUACCAAGGCAACGAUACGUAGCCGACCUGAGAGGGUGAUCGGCCACACUGGAACUGAGACACGGUCCAGACUCCUACGGGAGGCAGCAGUAGGGAAUCUUCCGCAAUGGGCGAAAGCCUGACGGAGCAACGCCGCGUGAGUGAUGAAGGUCUUCGGAUCGUAAAACUCUGUUAUUAGGGAAGAACAAAUGUGUAAGUAACUAUGCACGUCUUGACGGUACCUAAUCAGAAAGCCACGGCUAACUACGUG
RNAcentral lists this ribosomal RNA (497 nucleotides) under uncultured bacterium. RNAcentral describes it as "partial 16S ribosomal RNA". It matches the Rfam family "Bacterial small subunit ribosomal RNA", at positions 28 to 507 of the family's 1533-position model. The record is from RNAcentral.